CGAGCGGAGAGAGGUAGCUUGCUACUUGAUCUUAGCGGCGGACGGGUGAGUAAUGCUUAGGAAUCUGCCUAUUAGUGGGGGACAACAUUUCGAAAGGAAUGCUUAAUACCGCAUACGUCCUACGGGAGAAAGCAGGGGAUCUUCGGACCCUUGCGCUAAUAGAUGAGCCUAAGUCGGAUUAGCUAGUUGGUGGGGUAAAGGCCUACCAAGGCGACGAUCUGUAGCGGGUCUGAGAGGAUGAUCCGCCACACUGGGACUGAGACACGGCCCAGACUCCUACGGGAGGCAGCAGUGGGGAAUCUUGCGCAAUGGGCGAAAGCCUGACGCAGCAACGCCAGCGUGUGUGAUGAAGGUCUUCGGAUCGUAAAGCACUGUCGCGAG
This 381-nucleotide ribosomal RNA is filed under the name uncultured bacterium. RNAcentral describes it as "bacterial SSU rRNA". It matches the Rfam family "Bacterial small subunit ribosomal RNA", at positions 63 to 442 of the family's 1533-position model. The record is from RNAcentral.